This 72-nucleotide transfer RNA is filed under the name Zootermopsis nevadensis. It matches the Rfam family "tRNA". Rfam says of the family: Transfer RNA (tRNA) molecules are approximately 80 nucleotides in length. Their secondary structure includes four short double-helical elements and three loops (D, anti-codon, and T loops). Lineage: Eukaryota; Metazoa; Arthropoda; Insecta; Blattodea; Termopsidae. The record is from Rfam by way of RNAcentral.
GCUACGGUGGUCUAGCGGUUAGAACGCUGGCCUUGUAAUCCUGGGGUCCCGGGUUCAAUUCCCGGUGUUGCU